GUGUGGCGGCGGCGUCAAGCGCCGACAGCGUCACAUGGAUCUCCUCGAGCCAGGGCCCUCCGUGUACCCGCACCUUCCCCAUCGCGCACGAUCUGUCCGCUCCGACGCACGGUGAGCGCGCUGCCUCCGCCUUGUCACCGACGUCCUGAUCCAUCGGCGGCAACGACGGAUCCUUCUGGCCGGAUCAAGGCGCGGAGACCCGUGGGAUCCCCUCCUUCGGCAGGACCUCCUCAUCUGGCCUGAUGUGUAUCCAACGGCAUGGGAGAUUAAAGAUUUGCAUGAGACUGACGAUUGUGAUUUUGGCCCUGUACUGAAUAAUUUUGGGAGCGACUGGGUGAUGAUGAUUACAAGCCAGACUUCUGCAUUCCGGCUGACAGGCUCGCUGGCACAGCCACAUAAUCUCAUGCAUUCAAAUUGCUAGCUACACGAAAUACGCUCAGAUCUACGAGUAGGAAUCCAAGAUUCCUCGUGUAUGUUCAAUUUCCAGAAUAGGAAGAACCAUACCAACAACAUACAUACAUAUUACAGUUCUGCAUUUUAAAUUUGAAGACCAAGGCAAAGCCCGAUCGAUGUAAUUGGA
This is a long non-coding RNA of Triticum aestivum (bread wheat), 580 nucleotides long. RefSeq lists it as uncharacterized. The record is from RefSeq and is a predicted model, not a curated record. NCBI's taxonomy places the organism in Eukaryota, Viridiplantae, Streptophyta, Magnoliopsida, Poales, Poaceae. The transcript is spliced from 4 exons.